Molecule: long non-coding RNA, 937 nt
Filed under: Parus major (Great Tit)
Lineage: Eukaryota; Metazoa; Chordata; Aves; Passeriformes; Paridae
Description: lncRNA (ENSPMJG00000008160.1)
Source: RNAcentral
CUUCUGUAUGUUUCUCUUAUGAAACCAUUUUAACUUUACAAUGGGGACAUGAUUCCCCUGAGGACAGAAUGAAGCAAAACCAUAUGGAGAAUUGUAUAAUUCCUUUCCCCUCAUAGUUACUUCACAGCAAAAUAGACUCAUUUUAAUCCUUUUAAUUUUCUCUCCCAACUCUUUGGUUUCUGGAUUAUUCCCUGUGCUGUUAAUAGAGCUGUUUAUUUUCCAUCUUUAGUAUUGCUGCCAUCUUCCCUGAUGAGUGCCUCUCAUAACUGAGUGUAGCUCUGAAGUUUACUGGAUAAUUAGAUUUACAGUUUAGUGAGAAAUUAAAACUAGGCUUUGCUUAUAACCCAGUGUAUAAGUUGGACCACAAGAAAGUUCAACUUUUUUCAGAAAAUUAAACCUUCCUUCAGAAAAUAAAGCAUUCCAAGAGAACUAAUUUUAAUGUAACUACAUUGAAAAGAGUAGUUGCAGCAAGUAAGUUAGAAAUACAAAUUUUAUGUGAAGAAAUCACUCAGUUGGUACUGUCUUUAUGAACUCCUAGAAAGGUCUCUCAGUGUGUUGGUAUUUGCUGUAUGUCCACAUGAGCUGGAAGUGCCAUCAGGAUGAGAAUCAUGAUCUGUACUGUGGUGGGAGAUGAAGGGAAUGCAACCCUUCUCUUCUAUGGCAUUGUUAUUUUAUGCUGGUUUCAAGCAGCUGUAGGGUGAUAAUCUGAGACAGCCGGAAUCCUGGGUGAUUCCCACUGAAGGCAGUUUCAGCAUUUCCGACUGUGUGAUGAUCACACAUCCACUGCAGGAAGUGUCUGUGGUGUCUCCAGCAGGGAAGAUAGACCAGGAAUCUGAAGUUCUCAGAGGAAGUGGAUGGAGUCCCUGGUCUCAGGACUGACACAGACUAUGGGAGCUGCUGCAGCAGGGCACAGAAACAGGGAGUGCACUGCCUGAAC